GCCGGGUUAGCUCAGUUGGUAGAGCAGCUGAUUUGUAAUCAGUUGGUCGGGGGUUCGACUCCUCUACCCGGCACCG
This 76-nucleotide transfer RNA is filed under the name Betaproteobacteria bacterium. RNAcentral describes it as "tRNA-Thr". It matches the Rfam family "tRNA". From Rfam's summary of the family: Transfer RNA (tRNA) molecules are approximately 80 nucleotides in length. Their secondary structure includes four short double-helical elements and three loops (D, anti-codon, and T loops). RNAcentral also lists the same sequence under 1 other name. The record is from RNAcentral. Lineage: Bacteria; Pseudomonadati; Pseudomonadota; Betaproteobacteria.